AUUGAACGCUGGCGGCAUGCCUUACACAUGCAAGUCGAACGGCAGCACGGGAGCAAUCCUGGUGGCGAGUGGCGAACGGGUGAGUAAUAUAUCGGAACGUGCCCAGUCGUGGGGAUAACGUAGCGAAAGCUACGCUAAUACCGCAUACGAUCUAUGGAUGAAAGCGGGGGAUCGCAAGACCUCGCGCGAUUGGAGCGGCCGAUAUCAGAUUAGGUAGUUGGUGAGGUAAAGGCUCACCAAGCCGACGAUCUGUAGCUGGUCUGAGAGGACGACCAGCCACACUGGGACUGAGACACGGCCCAGACUCCUACGGGAGGCAGCAGUGAGGAAUAUUGGACAAUGGGCGCAAGCCUGAUCCAGCCAUGCCGCGUGCAGGAAGAAGGUCCUAUGGAUUGUAAACUGCUUUUAUACAAGAAGAACACUCCCUCGUGAGGGAACUUGACGGUACUGUAUGAAUAAGGACCGGCUAA
RNAcentral lists this ribosomal RNA (470 nucleotides) under uncultured bacterium. RNAcentral's name for it is "bacterial SSU rRNA". It matches the Rfam family "Bacterial small subunit ribosomal RNA", at positions 30 to 500 of the family's 1533-position model. The record is from RNAcentral.